Long non-coding RNA from Herpailurus yagouaroundi (jaguarundi), 276 nucleotides. RefSeq lists it as uncharacterized. Lineage: Eukaryota; Metazoa; Chordata; Mammalia; Carnivora; Felidae. The transcript has 3 exons. The record is from RefSeq and is a predicted model, not a curated record.
AAACUCACUUUAUAGCUAACUAAAAUCAUUUAUAUAUUUAUGUACUUUACCAACAAUCUUUGCAUCAUCAAGUCUAUCCUCUUUGUGUUCAUUUCAUUGUCUCAUUACAGAUUCACUUUGAAUUCUGGCAAUUGUUUAAUGAAAACUAGAUGUGUAGCACAAUUAAAUUAAACCUACCUAUUCAUAUUCCUUUCCCAUGUAUAGAACUUGUUCUGUUUGCUUUGCCAUGAGUUUUUUUUUUUAAUUUGUUUUCUUUUUCUUGUAAUGUCAUUUCUA